RNAcentral lists this ribosomal RNA (469 nucleotides) under Micrococcus sp. SC25. Its description in RNAcentral is "bacterial SSU rRNA". It matches the Rfam family "Bacterial small subunit ribosomal RNA", at positions 27 to 509 of the family's 1533-position model. Lineage: Bacteria; Bacillati; Actinomycetota; Actinomycetes; Micrococcales; Micrococcaceae. The record is from RNAcentral.
GGAUGAACGCUGGCGGCGUGCUUAACACAUGCAAGUCGAACGAUGAAGCCCAGCUUGCUGGGUGGAUUAGUGGCGAACGGGUGAGUAACACGUGAGUAACCUGCCCUUAACUCUGGGAUAAGCCUGGGAAACUGGGUCUAAUACCGGAUAGGAGCGUCCACCGCAUGGUGGGUGUUGGAAAGAUUUAUCGGUUUUGGAUGGACUCGCGGCCUAUCAGCUUGUUGGUGAGGUAAUGGCUCACCAAGGCGACGACGGGUAGCCGGCCUGAGAGGGUGACCGGCCACACUGGGACUGAGACACGGCCCAGACUCCUACGGGAGGCAGCAGUGGGGAAUAUUGCACAAUGGGCGCAAGCCUGAUGCAGCGACGCCGCGUGAGGGAUGACGGCCUUCGGGUUGUAAACCUCUUUCAGUAGGGAAGAAGCGAAAGUGACGGUACCUGCAGAAGAAGCACCGGCUAACUACGUGCC